GAGGGUAUAGCUCAAGUGGUAGAGUGCUCUCCUAGCAUGCGUGAAGUCCUGGGUUUGAUCCUCAGUACCUCCA
This 73-nucleotide transfer RNA is filed under the name Camelus bactrianus (Bactrian camel). It matches the Rfam family "tRNA". Rfam says of the family: Transfer RNA (tRNA) molecules are approximately 80 nucleotides in length. The record is from Rfam by way of RNAcentral. Lineage: Eukaryota; Metazoa; Chordata; Mammalia; Artiodactyla; Camelidae. RNAcentral also lists the same sequence under 2 other names.